Long non-coding RNA from Centruroides sculpturatus (bark scorpion), 257 nucleotides. RefSeq lists it as uncharacterized. Lineage: Eukaryota; Metazoa; Arthropoda; Arachnida; Scorpiones; Buthidae. The record is from RefSeq and is a predicted model, not a curated record. The transcript is spliced from 2 exons.
UCUCACAAAUUACAAAUAGUCAAAAUUCUACAAUGCCUAUAUCAACAUUGAAUAAAUUAAAAGUAUUUAAAAAAAAAGCUGAUGAAGCAAGUUUGGUAAUAAUACUAUUAUCGCAAGCAUAUUGUUCUUCCAAGACAUCAAUCAAACAGGUAUAUUACUGUGAACAUAGAAAAUGGACAAUUGUUAUCAGAACAGAAGAAUUUAAUAUGCCAAAUUGGAUUACACACUUACUAGAUGUAAAGAUUAUUGAGGUAUUU